UUGAGCGGGGGACAACAUUUGGGAACGAAUGCUAAUACCGCAUAAAAACUUUAAACACAAGUUUUAAGUUUGAAAGAUGCAAUUGCAUCACUCAAAGAUGAUCCCGCGUUGUAUUAGCUAGUUGGUGAGGUAAAGGCUCACCAAGGCGAUGAUACAUAGCCGACCUGAGAGGGUGAUCGGCCACAUUGGGACUGAGACACGGCCCAAACUCCUACGGGAGGCAGCAGUAGGGAAUCUUCGGCAAUGGACGAAAGUCUGACCGAGCAACGCCGCGUGAGUGAAGAAGGUUUUCGGAUCGUAAAACUCUGUUGGUAGAGAAGAACGUUGGUGAGAGUGGAAAGCUCAUCAAGUGACGGUAACUACCCAGAAAGGGACGGCUAACUACGUGCCAGCAGCCGCGGUAAUACGUAGGUCCCGAGCGUUGUCCGGAUUUAUUGGGCGUAAAGCGAGCGCAGGUGGUUUAUUAAGUCUGGUGUAAAAGGCAGUGGCUCAACCAUUGUAUGCAUUGGAAACUGGUAGACUUGAGUGCAGGAGAGGAGAGUGGAAUUCCAUGUGUAGCGGUGAAAUGCGUAGAUAUAUGGAGGAACACCGGUGGCGAAAGCGGCUCUCUGGCCUGUAACUGACACUGAGGCUCGAAAGCGUGGGGAGCAAACAGGAUUAGAUACCCUGGUAGUCCACGCCGUAAACGAUGAGUGCUAGAUGUAGGGAGCUAUAAGUUCUCUGUAUCGCAGC
Molecule: ribosomal RNA, 732 nt
Filed under: Lactococcus lactis
Lineage: Bacteria; Bacillati; Bacillota; Bacilli; Lactobacillales; Streptococcaceae
Description: bacterial SSU rRNA
Rfam family: Bacterial small subunit ribosomal RNA
Source: RNAcentral